Neofelis nebulosa (Clouded leopard) is the source of this 699-nucleotide long non-coding RNA. RefSeq lists it as uncharacterized. NCBI's taxonomy places the organism in Eukaryota, Metazoa, Chordata, Mammalia, Carnivora, Felidae. The transcript is spliced from 2 exons. The record is from RefSeq and is a predicted model, not a curated record.
CCAAGCACGGUGCCUAACAGACCCAAAAACGUUAGUUGUAUUAACAACUGUGUGAAAUACACAUUCAGGCAUCCAGACUCUGAACUCCUUAAGGACUCUGCCUGACACUGAGGCAGGGCUCAGAGAAUGUUCAUCUGAAUGAAGGGAUCCUAGCCUCAUCCCUGCAUCCUGGGGUUCCCAGUCUGGCUGGGGAGACAGAAUGAACAAACAAAACAUAUCAAGAACUGAGUAUGACCAGGAGGUUCACAGCCCUGUGUGUUUCAAACAGAGGCAUUCCCACGAUGGACAAAGAGAGCUCUAAGAGAGGAUGCGGUGGUCAGAGCGGGGAACUGGAGCGGAGAUGUAAAUUCUGGAUUGUUCUUCUCAGAUGUGGGAAGAAUUCUCGCCUUCCACCGCCCCUGACUUUCAUUUGGUCCAAAAAUAAGGAUAUCAUCUUUUCAAAGCUCUUACAAGGACAAUGUAUAUCCAAGAGGAACCCAGCAUAGAUUGAGGUCUUUGCCAGGCCAGUUGUUAGGCUGGGCCACAGCCUGAAGCAAGAGGAGGUACCCAGAGGAUCUGACAUUGCUCUGAAACUUAAUUCGAGUUACCCCCACUACGGGCUAGGGACCAGAUUAUGGGGCUCUUAGGAAAGUGUUUCUCCUCCUCAACAUGGAUUUACACUAUACUGUUGCUGAGAAUAAACAGUUGUGUUUUGUGUGC